GACAGAGGUGCCGAGCGUUAGGCGGAAUCACUGGGCUUAAAGCGUGUGUAGGCGGGUCGUUAAGUGUCUUGUGAAAUCCCACCGCUCAACGGUGGAACUGCUGGGCAUACUGGCGAUCUUGAGCCACCUAGGGGCAGACGGAACAAGCGGUGGAGCGGUGAAAUGCGUAGAUAUCGCUUGGAACGCCGACGGUGAAAACAGUCUGCUGGGGGUGUGGCUGACGCUGAGACACGAAAGCCAGGGGGGCGAACGGG
RNAcentral lists this ribosomal RNA (254 nucleotides) under uncultured bacterium. RNAcentral's name for it is "partial 16S ribosomal RNA". It matches the Rfam family "Bacterial small subunit ribosomal RNA", at positions 524 to 776 of the family's 1533-position model. The record is from RNAcentral.